GAUGAACGCUGGCGGCGUGCUUAACACAUGCAAGUCGAACGGAAAGGCCCAAGCUUGCUUGGGUACUCGAGUGGCGAACGGGUGAGUAACACGUGGGUGAUCUGCCCUGCACUUCGGGAUAAGCCUGGGAAACUGGGUCUAAUACCGGAUAGGACCACUUCUUGGAUGUUGUGGUGGAAAGUUUUUUCGGUGUGGGAUGAGCUCGCGGCCUAUCAGCUUGUUGGUGGGGUAAUGGCCUACCAAGGCGUCGACGGGUAGCCGGCCUGAGAGGGUGUACGGCCACAUUGGGACUGAGAUACGGCCCAGACUCCUACGGGAGGCAGCAGUGGGGAAUAUUGAACAAUGGGCGCAAGCCUGAUGCAGCGAGGCCGCGUGGGGGAUGACGGCCUUCGGGUUGUAAACUCCUUUCGCUAGGGACGAAGCGUUUUGUGACGGUACCUGGAGAAGAAGCACCGGCUAACUACGUG
This 467-nucleotide ribosomal RNA is filed under the name uncultured bacterium. Its description in RNAcentral is "partial 16S ribosomal RNA". It matches the Rfam family "Bacterial small subunit ribosomal RNA", at positions 28 to 507 of the family's 1533-position model. The record is from RNAcentral.